AGCCCAAAUUAAUUAUUAUACGGCGUAAAACGUGUAUGUAGAUCCCAUAAAUAGGAUUAAAAUUUUACUAGUAUGUGAAAAUUGGUUGUUAUAAUUAAAAUCACUAACGAAAGUAAUUCUAAUUUACCUUAUACACGAUAGCUAAGACCCAAACUGGGAUUAGAUACCCCACUAUGCUUAGCCCUAAACCUCAGUAAUUAUUUAACAAAAUUACUUGCCAGAGAACUACUAGCCACAGCUUAAAACUCAAAGGACUUGGCGGUACUUUAUAUCCACCUAGAGGAGCCUGUUCUAUAAUCGAUAAACCCCGCUAUACCUUACCACCCCUUGCUAAUU
This 336-nucleotide ribosomal RNA is filed under the name Hylaeamys megacephalus (large-headed rice rat). RNAcentral's name for it is "partial 12S ribosomal RNA". It matches the Rfam family "Bacterial small subunit ribosomal RNA", at positions 536 to 989 of the family's 1533-position model. Lineage: Eukaryota; Metazoa; Chordata; Mammalia; Rodentia; Cricetidae. The record is from RNAcentral.